RNAcentral lists this long non-coding RNA (439 nucleotides) under Scleropages formosus (Asian bonytongue). Its description in RNAcentral is "lncRNA (ENSSFOG00015030847.1)". The record is from RNAcentral. Lineage: Eukaryota; Metazoa; Chordata; Actinopteri; Osteoglossiformes; Osteoglossidae.
CGAACACGGAUUUCGUUUGCCUCGCUAAUGCUGCAGCUGCGACGCCUAUGGGCCCCGGCUGCAGAAAGUCUCUUCCCCAUUGCUGCGUAUUUCUGAUCAUCACCAUCAUCGCCACCAACACCACCAUCUCCCCGUAUAUUAGGGAGGAGCAGCAGUUAGAGUCAUUCAGAGGAGCCGCCCUGCACCACGGUAAAUCACAGCGGCGGCGACGGGUGUAAUAGCCAAGGGGGAGCAGCAGAGGACGCAAAGAGCGCCGGAGCCGCCGCCGUAGCUGCGCUUUCCGAGGGAGGCGCAACAUCCCUGCACCGCACCGCCAACAGCUGGAAGAGCUGCAGUGCAAGAGCCCUCCAGAGAAAAUGUAUUUUAAAAAAGAAGCAAACACCCACAAAUGAAAAAGCUGCUGGAAAGCAAUUUAUUGUGGAAGCACAAUUAAGGCACA